Molecule: ribosomal RNA, 482 nt
Filed under: uncultured bacterium
Lineage: Bacteria
Description: partial 16S ribosomal RNA
Rfam family: Bacterial small subunit ribosomal RNA
Source: RNAcentral
AUUGAACGCUGGCGGCAUGCUUUACACAUGCAAGUCGAACGGUAACAGGCCGCAAGGUGCUGACGAGUGGCGAACGGGUGAGUAAUGCAUCGGAACGUGCCCAGUCGUGGGGGAUAACUACUCGAAAGAGUAGCUAAUACCGCAUACGAUCUAUGGAUGAAAGCGGGGGACCGUAAGGCCUCGCGCGAUUGGAGCGGCCGAUGUCAGAUUAGGUAGUUGGUGGGGUAAAGGCUCACCAAGCCAACGAUCUGUAGCUGGUCUGAGAGGACAACCAGCCACACUGGGACUGAGACACGGCCCAGACUCCUACGGGAGGCAGCAGUGGGGAAUUUUGGACAAUGGGCGCAAGCCUGAUCCAGCAAUGCCGCGUGCAGGAAGAAGGCCUUCGGGUUGUAAACUGCUUUUGUACGGAACGAAACGGCUCUGGUUAAUACCCGGGGGUAAUGACGGUACCGUAAGAAUAAGCACCGGCUAACUACGUG